CCUACGGGGGACAGCAGUGGGGAAUAUUGCACAAUGGGGGAAACCCUGAUGCAGCGACGCCGCGUGAGCGAAGAAGCAAUCCGUUAUGUAAAGCUCUAUCAGCAGGGAAGAAAAUGACGGUACCUGAGUAAGAAGCCCCGGCUAACUACGUGCCAGCAGCCGCGGUAAUACGUAGGGGGCAAGCGUUAUCCGGAUUUACUGGGUGUAAAGGGAGCGUAGACGGCAGGGCAAGUCUGGAGUGAAAGGCGGGGGCUCAACCCCCGGACGGCUCUGGAAACUGUACGGCUGGAGUGCGGGAGAGGUAAGGGGAAUUCCUAGUGUAGCGGUGAAAUGCGUAGAUAUUAGGAGGAACACCAGUGGCGAAGGCGGCUUACUGGACUGUAACUGACGUUGAGGCUCGAAAGCGUGGGGAGCAAACGGGAUUAGAUACCCUAGUAGUC
This 440-nucleotide ribosomal RNA is filed under the name uncultured bacterium. RNAcentral describes it as "partial 16S ribosomal RNA". It matches the Rfam family "Bacterial small subunit ribosomal RNA", at positions 338 to 795 of the family's 1533-position model. The record is from RNAcentral.